CCUCCUUGAGUUCAGCGGUUGGCGUCUCCUACGAUCUCCGUCUCCACCGCCACUAACCUCAUAAAAAGGGAAUUAUUCCAUUAUAAGGUAUGCCAAGAUCCAAAAGGUUCAUGGAUAAGAGUCGGCCAAUAUCUCAUCCGCAAUCUUCUUCAUCAACACACGAGCAAUUGUUGAAUGAUGCACCACUUGAAGAACAAACCCAUGAUAAUGAAACACCUCAAGAGCAAGCUCAAGAUAAUGAGACACGACAAGACCAAAAUGAUGAAGAUUUGCCAUCUUCAUCUAAAAAGAGAACCAGGACUACGUGGGAAGUUGAUGUGAUUAAUGAAGAAGGAUUUGUGAAGAAGAAAAAGUUGAAAGUUAAAGAAGUUUGGACACUCCCAUUUGGUGAAAAAAUCAUAGUCCCAUUUGACAACUUUAAUACACCAUC
Long non-coding RNA from Ipomoea nil (Japanese morning glory), 430 nucleotides. RefSeq lists it as uncharacterized. Lineage: Eukaryota; Viridiplantae; Streptophyta; Magnoliopsida; Solanales; Convolvulaceae. The transcript is spliced from 3 exons. The record is from RefSeq and is a predicted model, not a curated record.